Molecule: unclassified non-coding RNA, 338 nt
Filed under: soil metagenome
Description: partial contains 5.8S ribosomal RNA, internal transcribed spacer 2, and large subunit ribosomal RNA
Rfam family: 5.8S ribosomal RNA (bases 1-120)
Source: RNAcentral
GAUGAAGAACGUAGCGAAAUGCGAUAAGUAAUGCGAAUUGCAGAAUUCCGUGAGUCAUCGAAUCUUUGAACGCACAUUGCGCCCUUUGGUAUUCCAAAGGGCAUGCCUGUUCGAGCGUCAUUUGUACCCUCAAGCUUUGCUUGGUGUUGGGCGUCUUGUCUCCAGUCCGCUGGAGACUCGCCUUAAAGUCAUUGGCAGCCGGCCUACUGGUUUCGGAGCGCAGCACAAGUCGCACUCUUUUCCAGCCAAGGUCAGUGUCCAACAAGCCUUUUUUCAACUUUUGACCUCGGAUCAGGUAGGGAUACCCGCUGAACUUAAGCAUAUCAAUAAGCGGAGGA